Molecule: transfer RNA, 65 nt
Filed under: Dipodomys ordii (Ord's kangaroo rat)
Lineage: Eukaryota; Metazoa; Chordata; Mammalia; Rodentia; Heteromyidae
Rfam family: tRNA
About the family: Transfer RNA (tRNA) molecules are approximately 80 nucleotides in length. Their secondary structure includes four short double-helical elements and three loops (D, anti-codon, and T loops).
Source: Rfam by way of RNAcentral
GGUGGCUCAGUGGUAGAGUGCUUGUCUUGCAUGCAUAAGACUGUGGGUUCGAUUCCACAGCACCA